This 475-nucleotide ribosomal RNA is filed under the name uncultured bacterium. RNAcentral describes it as "SSU rRNA". It matches the Rfam family "Bacterial small subunit ribosomal RNA", at positions 26 to 518 of the family's 1533-position model. The record is from RNAcentral.
AGGACGAACGCUGGCGGCGUGCCUAACACAUGCAAGUCGAACGAGGUCCAUCCUUCGGGAGAAGACCUAGUGGCGAACGGGUGAGUAACACGUGAGGAACCUGCCCCGAAGACCGGGAUAACUUUCCGAAAGGAAAGCUAAUACCGGAUACCCCCACCGAACCGCAUGGUUUGGUGAGGAAAUGGAUUCCGCUUCGGGAGGGCCUCGCGGCCUAUCAGCUAGUUGGUGGGGUAACGGCCCACCAAGGCAUCGACGGGUAGCUGGUCUGAGAGGACGAUCAGCCACACUGGGACUGAGACACGGCCCAGACUCCUACGGGAGGCAGCAGUGGGGAAUCUUGCGCAAUGGGCGAAAGCCUGACGCAGCAACGCCGCGUGGGGGAUGAAGGCUCUCGGGUUGUAAACCCCUUUCAGCAGGGACGAAUCAAGACGGUACCUGCAGAAGAAGCCCCGGCUAACUACGUGCCAGCAGCCGC